CUAACCUUCCAUCUCUCUCUCUCUCUCUCUCUCUCUCUCGCAUGCUUGGUCACUUCCCGCCUCCCUAGUUUCCCUCAAAUCGUCGACCCUAACCGUAACCUUCUAGCUGCCGGCGAGGGUCGCCGAUGCUUUGAUAGCCUUCAAUUUUUUGCUACUUGUCCAGAGUUGCAACUUCAAAGUGGUAAGAUGUCAAUAUCCUUUAAGAAAUUGUGGGUUAUUUAUGGAUCUUCAAAGUUUUUGUGAUUUUUUUGGUGAUUUUAUCUACUUGACUGUGUGAUUUGAACAUGGAAAUGAACUGCUAAAAUAAUAUUCGUGAUAAACCUUAUUAUCAGCAGCAAGUUUGUUCACCAAUUGAACAAAAGCGUUAGAUUUAGGAUUUUUAAUUUAGUAGCUUUAUCUGAUUUCGAUCUGCUGUCUUUAAUAGAAUAUUCUGCUCGAUCUGUUAGAUGUUGUUUCAGAUAUACUAUUUCUUGAUGUAGAUUGCAGUUUUAUCUGUUAAAAAAAUAACUCUUUUAUUUUGAGUUUUGUAUAUGUAAUUUAAUGGUGUUGAUCGUUGAUCUGUGGAUUUAAUUUUUAUUUUGCGUUCUUAUUUUAUUGGUUUUUAAUUAUAAAAAGAGAUACAGUGUUAUUUCUAAAAUGACGUCUCAUUUUGAAAAGCAAAAAAAAAUAUUUGAUAAAAAGGAAGUGGUGUCUAAUAUGCACGGAUUAUGUAUUUCCUGUUGUGAAUAAAUUAACAUUACUUAUAUUGCUCCAAAAAGUUUAAUAAAUUCUCAGUGCUUGUAAAUCAAGUGUUAGUACUUAGCAUUGCAAUUAUAAUUUACAAUUUAGUCGCACUUACAUUGUUGUUAUCAAUUGUCAUCUUUUUAUGCGUAAAAUAAAUUAUAAAGUUUUCUCUCACAGGAAGGUUACAUGUAACAUGUUAUUCCUUUUUCUCCAUCUGUGUCAUCUGACAUUGUUUCAGUUUAUGCUAUGCACUUGUUUGUGCAUACCGCAAUAGUACAUGUACUUUCUUUUAUCAUCUCUUAUUUCUAUAUUGGUUUUAUGCUGUGGUUUCCAGUUCAUAGAAAAUGGCCUAUGGUGAGAUAUUCAGCCCCUCGUUUGUGACAAUGGAACUGGAAUGGUGAAGGUUCGUAAGCAUUUUUAAAUUCUCUAGUCUUCUGUAUUCAAUUUAUUAUGUAAUUAAUUUCGAGGGACUUGUUUAAUUUUACUCCUGCAGGCUGGUUUUGCCGGUGAUGAUGCUCCUGCAGAUUCAAUCCAACAAUAUGCUUAGAUUGCCAUAGAGGUAUUCAUUUAAAUUAAUUUUGUUUCUCCACAAUAGGUAUUGUUUAAAUGCUGUUGUAUUAUCUCUCUUUGUAGCACAAGGCAAUUGGUAUCCCUUUUGAGAAUUAUACGAGAAUAGUAUUGAUUUGGUUGUGAUAGACAUCGAUAACAGAUGGAGUGUGCUUGUGGUUCUAUUUAAUAUCCAUGAAUCUAUAUGGUACUUAUGCUUGUGAGUGUACGGAAUGAAAUACCCAAUGUUUUAUGAAAGCCACCUGCCUUUUGGACAUACGUGAUUUUGUACACGUGUUCAUUUCAGUAGUUAAGUUGGAUUGUCCAUAUUUUUGGGAUCGUUUCCUAUUACCUUUUCCAAUUUUUGAGUUCCUCUUACGUGUAAUUAAAUAAUGCACUUGUUAUGUUGUUUCGAACUUCAAAAGUAAGGAAUUGUAGGAGUAUGCUUGCAACUUCUUGUAACAUGGUUUGCUAGUUUGUGCAUUAAAAUUUGAACUCGUG
Molecule: long non-coding RNA, 1770 nt
Filed under: Olea europaea subsp. europaea
Lineage: Eukaryota; Viridiplantae; Streptophyta; Magnoliopsida; Lamiales; Oleaceae
Source: RNAcentral